GAGACAGUGCUCUAGCGAUGGUCACAGGUAUAAGCUGUUAGCUAGAGCAAUUUCAGCAGUUGGGAGGUGAGCAUAUCAACCCACAAGGUUGUCUGAGAGGGACAACAACUUCUGCUGUUAGUUUACUUUUGGGUAUAAACGUGAACUUUGAGGAAAGAGUUAAAUUCAAUUAAAAACAAAUUCGUUGAGUGUCUACUAUGUGCAAAACAAUAUGUUGUGGCAAAAGGGGGACGCAAUGUGAAAGAUCUGUUGCCCUCGAGAAGAAACGACCCUGCAUAUCAGCAAGGUAUCUUUUCCUGAAGCCGGUCUUCAUUAACAGGCUUGGUCUUUCUCCCAGUGGAGAAAUCACUUGGGCCACUUCUGCAUCUAGAGUGUCAGACCCAAGCUAGGAAAAAGAAUCAUCUUUAAAAGUAUGUCAUCAGCACUCAAGACCUUUAAUGAGCCAGCGGAAUUGGUCUCCUGGUCCUCUCCUCACUCCACAGAGACUGAAAACGAACCAGACAGAGGACGAGAGUCCGCAUGCUGAACCACUUAAAUUCACAUGGCGGCUAAGAAGACAAGAGUUUCGGCAGGCAUAGAGGCUAAGAGAGUUAAGAGCAUCCUCCGUGCCUAGUACAGUCCCCAGCUGCAUCAUAAACAGAUGAAAUGAAAAAGUUUUUUCUCCCAAUCAAGCCAGCAGGAGAGCAAGGGUCUGUGGUACCUGGGGACAAUGCACCAUGCUUACACCCUCUCUAGCCACAUGUAUGCUACUGCGGAAUUGGCAAAGACAGGUAUGUUCCCAUAGAUGAGGCAUGCAUACAGACAGGUGCCUGGAAACCACAAGCCCUCCAAGGCUUUCCUGUGCUAAGCCUGAUUUACGAGCUAGUCACCCAUGCCUGACUCAAGUCCAAGAUCUGGGCUGAACAGCCUCUUCUGCAUUUUCUGAUGUGUGACGCCUAUUGUGUGCCCCUUCUGGGAUCCUCAUGACUCCUGCCAGUCCUUUCAUGGGUGGAGGCUUUGAGUGAUCCUCGAGAACCAGGAGAGUAAGGAGUGACUUAUAUAGGAUCAGAAUAACCAUGCAACUACAUCCCAGGAGCUGUGUGCUCAGUGGGUGAUUAAAUGUGCUGUUUACUUUGUAUCCUCGGUUGUCUACUCAGAGCUCUUUUAUUAAAGUUUGUGUAAUGCUUCCUAGCCAUUAAAACAGCAUUUCGUAAAUGGGCUUACUUUGGGAGGCUGAGAUGCCCAGAAGCAUGGAGGCACCUGUCUCGGGUGGAGACACCUGAGGUAUUAUUUACAGAUUUAUGUAUUAAACAAACAAACCUGACACUCCUUUUCUAUUCCAGAGUGCAACCCUUUUUAGUCAUCAACCUGGGGGAGAGAUCUCUUCUGCACAUAAAAGUAUCCCCACAGCAUUGUGAUCACACUGGAGAAAGUGGACGGGAUAAAGAGAAGGAAGGACGUUUUGUUGAGUGCCUUCUAUGUGCUGUUCGCUCUGCUGAGCUUCAAGUUUCUCAAAUAUAAAUGGGGGAGAGGCUGGGCGCGGUGGCUUACGCCUGUAAUUCCAGAACUUUUGGAGGCCAAGGCGAGCAGAUCACAAGGACCGCACCGAACCUGGAAGAGCUCCCAACAACACAGAGAAGAAUAUUAGGGAUGUGGGUGCUGUUACAUGCAUUAGUGUUUCUUGAUUGACAAUACCCGCCAGAUGGACACCCAGAAACACACCUGUAAAACAAAGUUAAGUUUAUUGGCUUGUUGGAAUUUGAGAAAACCACACCAAAGGGAGCCAUGUAUUGUCUCAGUAACAAGGUGCUAGAAAGAACUUACAGGAAUUGGGCUUGUGUGAGGUGAUUUUGAAGUAGAUUCAAAAAAGUGGAAGUUUGCUCUCAAUUGGGCACUGUGAGUAAAUGGACGCAAUUCUAUGAUUGUGUAUCUUAGCAUAUCUGAUCUAUGGGGGGACAGACAACUGUGAGGUUUCAGCUGUGAUUGGCAAGGAAGCUGCAGUCACCAUAUUAUCUGGGAAAGAGGGACGGUUGGUAUUUUGAGGAUUGGUACUUUAUGUUGUAUUUUUGAACAACACUCAUGUUUUGUCUGUACUGAGACAUGAUUACAGAGUGGUCUUGUUUUUGCCUGGCUCUGUCAUGGUCACACAGACAUUGUGACAUUGGUGUUCCAUAAAAGUUUUCAUGUGCAACAGAAGAACACCAGGCCUGCUCUGAGUGUCAAGCCAGUUCCCAGAAUUACAAACGGCCAGUUUUUCAUGUUAGAUCAGCACUUAGCUGUUAGCAGCUACUUUUCUCUUUCUCAAUUCAUUGUUGUUUCUCAGGAAAAUGUCCCUGCCUGGAGCUCGAAACCAGUAAGAAAGUUUUCAAAGCACACUGAAGACCAAAGCCAAGUAGGAGCCUGAACAAGCCUGGAUUUGCCCACUGGAGGAUGAGAAGACGCUUGAAGCAGAGUCCAGAACACAGAGAAGAGUCCAAUUAAGAUCAGCAAAGCUGCCUAACCAACCCACACCUACCUACCCAUAGAGAAAUGGAUGAGCUCUACCAAGCCCAGUUCACCCCAGUGGAAAUGACUACCCAUCUGCAUAUGCAAAGCUGAAUAAAUGCUUAUCACUUGAAACCAUUGGGUGUGGGGUUUUUAUGCAGCAAUAGCUAACUGCUACAAGCCACCAAGUAGAAGAUGCUUUCCUUCAGAGAACACCUAAUUUCUUUUUACAUACAAACCCGCUUUGCAUUUGAAUUUCUUGCUAAGGCUGAGCAGGC
RNAcentral lists this long non-coding RNA (2741 nucleotides) under Homo sapiens (human). RNAcentral describes it as "HSALNT0387154". Lineage: Eukaryota; Metazoa; Chordata; Mammalia; Primates; Hominidae. The record is from RNAcentral.